AUACAUGCGGGCUGGACACCCCCCGCUGGGCACUGCUUCACGGCGUGCGCGGCGGGGCCGGCCCUGCUGAAUUAUUCACCCGUGUCUUUUGCGUACUUCUUGUUUCCUGGGUGGGCUCGCCCGCCCUCAGGACCAACCACAAACCUUUUGCAAUAGCAAUCAGCGUCAGUAACAACGUAAUUAAUUACAACUUUCAACAACGGAUCUCUUGGUUCUGGCAUCGAUGAAGAACGCAGCGAAAUGCGAUACGUAGUGUGAAUUGCAGAAUUCAGUGAAUCAUCGAAUCUUUGAACGCACAUUGCGCCCUUUGGUAUUCCAAAGGGCAUGCCUGUUCGAGCGUCAUUUGUACCCUCAAGCUUUGCUUGGUGUUGGGCGUCUUUUGUCUCCAGUUCGCUGGAGACUCGCCUUAAAGUCAUUGGCAGCCGGCCUACUGGUUUCGGAGCGCAGCACAAGUCGCGCUCUUUGCCAGCCAAGGUCAGCGUCCAGCAAGCCUUUUUUUUUCAACCUUUGACCUCGGAUCAGGUAGGGAUACCCGCUGAACUUAAGCAUAUCAAUAAGCGGAGAAAA
RNAcentral lists this ribosomal RNA (567 nucleotides) under Alternaria infectoria. RNAcentral's name for it is "eukaryotic LSU rRNA". The stretch from base 189 to 342 matches the Rfam family "5.8S ribosomal RNA". Lineage: Eukaryota; Fungi; Ascomycota; Dothideomycetes; Pleosporales; Pleosporaceae. The record is from RNAcentral.